Molecule: ribosomal RNA, 106 nt
Filed under: Octodon degus (degu)
Lineage: Eukaryota; Metazoa; Chordata; Mammalia; Rodentia; Octodontidae
Source: RNAcentral
GUCUAUGGCCAUACCACCCUGAACGCGCCCGAUCUCAUCUGAUCUCGUCUGAUUUCAGAAUCAGGGUUGGGCCUGGUUAGUACUUGGAUGGGAGAAGCCAUGGAUU